UACGAAGGGGGCUAGCGUUGCUCGGAAUCACUGGGCGUAAAGGGUGCGUAGGCGGGUCUUUAAGUCAGAGGUGAAAUCCUGGAGCUCAACUCCAGAACUGCCUUUGAUACUGAAGAUCUUGAGUUCGGGAGAGGUGAGUGGAACUGCGAGUGUAGAGGUGAAAUUCGUAGAUAUUCGCAAGAACACCAGUGGCGAAGGCGGCUCACUGGCCCGAUACUGACGCUGAGGCACGGAAGCGUGGGGAGCAAACAGG
This 253-nucleotide ribosomal RNA is filed under the name uncultured bacterium. Its description in RNAcentral is "partial 16S ribosomal RNA". It matches the Rfam family "Bacterial small subunit ribosomal RNA", at positions 524 to 776 of the family's 1533-position model. The record is from RNAcentral.